CUUUGUGGGAGUCUUUCUCCAAAAGUCAGCUUCUCAUUUUGCCAACUUUCCCCUUCUCUCUCUAGAAAACAGAAAACCCUUUUUGCCCUAAAACAUUUUCUCUGCCUUCUCUCUAAAUUCCCAGCAAAUUUAACCCUUCAAUCUUUGAAUAGGUUGUGCUCAAACGUUUAUCACGUCGAGAGCUCCGUAACAGAUCGAACAAUUUCUUGUUUCUAUCGGGUGCCUUUGAAAUUUGCUGUGAGUAACAUUGUUUAAAGCGUUUCUAUCAAAUAAACUGUGAAGUUUUCCAGAUGUGGAUGAGGAGGUUCCCUUGGAGCAAGUGUCGGAGGACGCUGAUGCUACUUAAGAUUUCACUUAUUUAGCUUAUGUUAUUUUGAGAUACUUAUUAGAUUAUUUUGAAAUACUUUGCUAUGAUUAAAGUUUUAAACUAGAUCAUUUUGGAUGACUGUAAUCCUCUAAUUAAUCGCAAGUCAUAGUUCUCUUUAUUUGAAUGAUGAUGCCUAUAUUAUAUGAUUGAGG
This is a long non-coding RNA of Vigna radiata var. radiata (mung bean), 519 nucleotides long. RefSeq lists it as uncharacterized. NCBI's taxonomy places the organism in Eukaryota, Viridiplantae, Streptophyta, Magnoliopsida, Fabales, Fabaceae. The transcript has 3 exons. The record is from RefSeq and is a predicted model, not a curated record.